Molecule: long non-coding RNA, 289 nt
Organism: Ornithodoros turicata
Lineage: Eukaryota; Metazoa; Arthropoda; Arachnida; Ixodida; Argasidae
Exons: 4
Source: RefSeq, a predicted model, not a curated record
GAAGCCGCAGGGCACGCCGGCCAAACCAGACGCCAUUCUCCGCGUUCUCAUCAGAUUAUAAUCUGCUGGGAUAUAUAGGAGGCUGUUACGACGGAGAUUACCGGCGCUGCUCGCAAGUCCAUCGUGUGCGGUUCAGGAAUGAUUUGUAGAAACAGCAGGUGUAGUCGCAAAAAAGAAGACAAAAUGGACGUCGGAACGACGCGGCUUCCUGCAAGGCCUGAACAUCAGUAGGCAACACACAGAAGCCAUGAACAUCCUCAUAUGUGAAUAAACCAUUAUAUUCAAAACA